Molecule: long non-coding RNA, 403 nt
Filed under: Manihot esculenta (cassava)
Lineage: Eukaryota; Viridiplantae; Streptophyta; Magnoliopsida; Malpighiales; Euphorbiaceae
Description: long non-coding RNA (MESC_LNC004584)
Source: RNAcentral
AAAUAUAAAUCUAACCAAAGCAUAAGAAUUUAACAAAUCACAAUACAAGUGCCAAAAAAGGAGAAGAUUCUCGAUGCAACACAAGAGUUCGGGAGUAGAUUUUUCAUCUUCGUUGGACUCAUAAGUUUCGUAAAAUUUCAGAUUCUUGAAUCAUCAUCCUUGGACUCAUGAUCUCGAACAUGGACUGUAAAUCAUCGAUCUUGAAAGGGAAAAGGGGGAGUACAAAAGGAAAAGAGGACAUGCAUGCCUAUGAGAAUAAGAAGGAGGAGGAGGAUGUUGAAGAUGGAGUCCCAUUAUGAGCUUGAGAAAUGAGGCGAUAGACCAUCAACCAAUAGCUGUAUGAGCAAAAUCUCAGUUCAAGAGAGAUAUUGAUGAGAUAAUUUAAGGACUGAGAUAGAAAAGG